This is a small nucleolar RNA of Scatophagus argus, 138 nucleotides long. RefSeq annotates it as small nucleolar RNA SNORA15. The record is from RefSeq and is a predicted model, not a curated record. The transcript has a single exon. NCBI's taxonomy places the organism in Eukaryota, Metazoa, Chordata, Actinopteri, Scatophagidae.
GCAUGGCUGAAUUCUGUUCCAGCUGCUCUGUGGUGGAUACAGUCAGACACCAUGCGACAGUCUUGUCUCAUUUCUGCUUUAAUGACUGUUUGAGUGCUUUCCUCAGCCUCAUGCAGCUGCACAGCAAUGAGUACAUUG